RNAcentral lists this long non-coding RNA (499 nucleotides) under Vombatus ursinus (common wombat). RNAcentral's name for it is "lncRNA (ENSVURG00010018371.1)". Lineage: Eukaryota; Metazoa; Chordata; Mammalia; Diprotodontia; Vombatidae. The record is from RNAcentral.
UCAGAUCUAAGUAUUCACUAUAUCAUAAUCAUUUGAAACAGUUUAAAACUUUUUUUUUUAUUUAAGGAAAGGUGACCCUUGUGAAAUCUAUUGAACAUGACAUUCUAGAAAAACUUGGACAAAAACAGCUAAAGGCAGUGAUCAAACAUUUUCCAAAUCUCUCCAUCGGUAAGUUCCUCACUAGGUGUUCCUGAAGCAAAGGUAUUUUGACCAUGUUGACAUAGCCCCAAGAAUAUUCCAAGUCAAUCCUCUUGGAAAACUUCAGGGCAAGAUUUUGGCAAGAACCUACCUAUCAUCAAAAAAAUCAAGACUCUAAUAUGGACCCUCCUUCCCAGUUCUACUAAGGGUGUUGAGGAUACUGUCCAGAUGAAACUUGAGGGAGCUCUACUUUCAAAUGCAGGAGGAGACCUGAUGACCAAAAUCAUCUCCCAGAAGGAGUUGCUUGGUUAUGUUUUAUUGCCAGACUUCCGAAAGGAAUGGUCUACAUUUUUAUCAAGGC